CCCCGCCCGCGCCGCCCUGCACCCCUGCCCGCUCCCGAGGCUGGGACUUAGGGACGCCUGGUUUCCCGGCGGACUCUGCGGCGGACGCGCAGUGUGACCUUGGAGGAGCGUCUGCGCUCUGGGGACUCCGUUUCCACCAGUAACAUGCAGGCGGGUGCCCUGGCCCUGCAGUCUGUGACCUAGUGAAAUCCAUGACCCCUCGGACUUGAGGCCGUCUUCGGCGACCCCGAGUUUCUUUGGUCCUACAGUGUCCUAUCAGGCAGCUCCUCGGUCUUCCUGAAUGUGCCCUAACCCAGGUAUGUCCUUGUGGCAGUGGCAGGAUUCCAAGAGACAAAGCUACAAUGAUCAAGUGCUUUGUCAAGCUUCUGUUUGUACUACGUCUCCCCCUAUUCUGUUUGCCAAAGCAAGACACAGGGUAAAGUCUGUGGCCAGUGUGGGAUGACACUACCAAAGGAUGUGAAUAUUAGGAAGCAAGAAAAAUUGGGGCCCUUAUUACAAUCGAUCUACCACAAGCUGCAUCUUUGACAGAUGGAAAUGUGAUCUCCAUAGCAACCAGCAAGGACAACUGAGGCCCAGAAGGUACCACAACAAUUUGUUGGAGGCUGCUGACCUGCCUACAUCACAUUUAAUCCCCCUGGGAUAUAGGUGCAUCACAGGAAUAAGAAGAGGGGAAUGCUUGAAUCACCACCCUAGAGGAAUGAGAUCUGGAAAGAAAAAUUAAACUGGGGUACAAAAAAAUAAAAGUACAAUUCUUGCACA
Canis lupus familiaris (dog) is the source of this 759-nucleotide long non-coding RNA. RefSeq lists it as uncharacterized. The transcript has 3 exons. Lineage: Eukaryota; Metazoa; Chordata; Mammalia; Carnivora; Canidae. The record is from RefSeq and is a predicted model, not a curated record.